AAAAGACUAAACUACUAGUGUACCAAAUACUAACUCGAUUUAAGAUAUAGAUAAGGACCGUUUGUUUCUAUAUACUUACUCUAAUAACAAGUUUAAAUAUGUGCCACAUUCUUUUUUGCUCUAUAGUUUAAUGGUGAAGGCUCGAGACCCAUAUUAUUUAUUUUUUGUGCAAAAAAAUACGAUAAUGCUGAAAGUUAUAGUGCUACUAAC
RNAcentral lists this long non-coding RNA (210 nucleotides) under Gossypium barbadense (sea-island cotton). RNAcentral describes it as "long non-coding RNA (GBAR_LNC010340)". Lineage: Eukaryota; Viridiplantae; Streptophyta; Magnoliopsida; Malvales; Malvaceae. The record is from RNAcentral.